CUAGCGAGACUGCCACCGUAAGGUGUGAGGAAGGUGGGGAUGACGUCAAAUCAGCACGGCCCUUACGUCCGGGGCGACACACGUGUUACAAUGGGGGGUACAGAGGGUUGCUACCAAGCGAUUGGAUGCUAAUCUCUAUAAAGCCUCUCUCAGUUCGGAUCGGAGUCUGCAACUCGACUCCGUGAAGCUGGAUUCGCUAGUAAUCGCGCAUCAGCCAUGGCGCGGUGAAUACGUUCCCGGGCCUUG
RNAcentral lists this ribosomal RNA (246 nucleotides) under uncultured Paludibacter sp. RNAcentral describes it as "partial 16S ribosomal RNA". It matches the Rfam family "Bacterial small subunit ribosomal RNA", at positions 1140 to 1383 of the family's 1533-position model. The record is from RNAcentral. Lineage: Bacteria; Pseudomonadati; Bacteroidota; Bacteroidia; Bacteroidales; Paludibacteraceae.